Molecule: transfer RNA, 361 nt
Filed under: uncultured Microcystis sp.
Lineage: Bacteria; Bacillati; Cyanobacteriota; Cyanophyceae; Chroococcales; Microcystaceae
Description: partial 16S-23S ribosomal RNA intergenic spacer
Rfam family: tRNA (bases 133-206)
Source: RNAcentral
AAGGGAGACCUAAUUCGGGUAGAAGACGAAAAAAUAGUAGUCGAAACCAAGAAUCAAUCCCAAAAGGUCGGAACGAGGUAUGUGGCUUUCAAACUAGGUUCUGGGUUCACAAAAGACCUGAAUCAGGAACAAGGGCUAUUAGCUCAGGUGGUUAGAGCGCACCCCUGAUAAGGGUGAGGUCCCUGGUUCGAGUCCAGGAUGGCCCACCUGUACAGGUGGCAAAAAGAAAGAAAAGAAGCGAGGAAUCAGCACCUUAUCUUACUGACAUAGUAAGAGAGAAUGCUGGCUCUGAGUAAAGAGUCCAGAGGAACCUUGAAAACUGCAUAGAGCUAGGUGAAAAAGCCAAAAAGGAAGACCGCAA